GGGGUUGUGGCUCAGUGGUAGAGUGUUCACCUUGCAUGAAGGAGACUCUGAGUUUGAUCCUUAGCACCACA
RNAcentral lists this transfer RNA (71 nucleotides) under Marmota monax (woodchuck). RNAcentral describes it as "tRNA.Ala". The record is from RNAcentral. Lineage: Eukaryota; Metazoa; Chordata; Mammalia; Rodentia; Sciuridae.